UAAAAUAACCGAUCUUAAAAGAACUUUUAAAAUCGGUUAUUUUAUGACCGAUUUUAAAAGUGCUACUUUUAAAAUCGGUUAUUUUA
RNAcentral lists this microRNA precursor (86 nucleotides) under Cajanus cajan (pigeon pea). Its description in RNAcentral is "miRNA gene-KK1_041690". Lineage: Eukaryota; Viridiplantae; Streptophyta; Magnoliopsida; Fabales; Fabaceae. The record is from RNAcentral.